AUACGGAGGGUGCAAGCGUUACUCGGAAUCACUGGGCGUAAAGCGCGCGCAGGCGGGCUGAUAAGUUGGAUGUGAAAGCCUACGGCUCAACCGUAGAACUGCAUCCAAAACUGUCAGUCUAGAGUCUGGGAGGGGAAGAUGGAAUUAGUUGUGUAGGGGUAAAAUCCGUAGAGAUAACUAGGAAUACCAAAAGCGAAGGCAAUCUUCUGGAACACUGCUGACGCUGAGGCGCGAAAGCGUGGGGAGCAAACAGGAUUAGAAACCCUAGUAGUCC
Molecule: ribosomal RNA, 274 nt
Filed under: uncultured bacterium
Lineage: Bacteria
Description: partial 16S ribosomal RNA
Rfam family: Bacterial small subunit ribosomal RNA
Source: RNAcentral